Molecule: long non-coding RNA, 976 nt
Organism: Sipha flava (yellow sugarcane aphid)
Lineage: Eukaryota; Metazoa; Arthropoda; Insecta; Hemiptera; Aphididae
Exons: 5
Source: RefSeq, a predicted model, not a curated record
UGGCGAAUUACUUCGGUAGUGCAACAAACAAAAUUCAUUAGUUUCCUUUAUCAUGUGGACGAUGAUUUUUGUUUUAUGUUCAUGGUCGGGACGCGCGAAACCGACGCUCACGGUUAUCGCUCGCUAUCAGUGUUGUUCUCGAACACUUUAAUAGUUUUCACGGUUAGCAGCACUGUUAGUCGCGAGCGUCGGCACAGAGUUGGUCGGCCAUAUAUGAGGGUUCUGUCUGUUGCGUUCACCACCACCACCGACGCCGCACAUUAGGUUAGUGUAAACAACCCGUCAUCGACAUUUGAUCGAUCAAUAAUCGCGCCCCAUCGUCGUCCACAUUGUUUUUACCACUGUUUGGCGACUAUGAUGUACGCAUGCAUCGUGUGUUUCCGAUUAACGUGAUAUCCGACCGCCAUAUCGUUUCAUGUGCAAAUUUGUUGUAGCGAUUUUUGUUUUACACGUUGUUUCACUGCAAGUAAUUGGACGUGGAUAGGAAGAUUACUUCCUAUGUUUCGAUAAGUUGUUUUUAUGCUACUAUGGAUCACCACAAUCAAAAAUAGAAAACGUUCAAUCAAUAAAAUGUACAUGUAAAAGGAACAUGUAUACUGGGCUAUUCAUAAUGAAACCCCAAUGAAAUCCAUUUCUAUAUAGUAGAAAGUAAAAACCAUUUAUUUAAAAAUGAGUUCAUCCAAUACUUAUAUUCCACCUUUGAAAAAAAAGAAAAAAGAAAAAAAAGGAAAAAAAAGAAAAAAAAGACUUAAUUCCUUCAGCGUCAGUUGAAGUAAAACAUGAAUCAGUACCUAAUUCUUUACCAAUUAAUAGUGAUUCGUGUGAUUGUCUUGAAACUGAUUGUCCUGGAUGUUUCUUACCAUGUGAAUCGUGUGGAUCAGUAAAAUGUGGAGUAGUUUGUCGGGUUGGUCGCGAAUGGAACUAUGAAUUUGUCAUAGUUGAAGGAAGGUAUAACUUUCCGGAUGAAGUAGAAACU